UCUCUCUUUUCUCUCUCUCUCUCUCUCUCUCUCUCUCUCUCUCUCGAGAUCGCCAUAGAAACCCCCACUACCUCCAUCAUGCCCUCCUCCUCCCUUUCCUUCUUCUCCCCCAAAUGGUCUCCUCCAAGCCCAACGACGAUGCCGCCGAUCUCAAUCUCCAAGCCGCAAUCCUCUAUUUCCUCUCUCUCCAAGAAGGAUGCGGCGAUGGGGUUGGUUUUGAGCGCAGCUACAGGGACUGGAUGGACCACAGGAUCAAAUAUGGAGGGUCCUUCAUCGCCGGCGGCGUUUGAAUCUGGUUCGCCGGACCAGACGGUGUCCACCUUCUCGUGGUCGCACUUCAACAAGUCCCCCCGCCGCCGGAUGCGUGUCGCCUUCACUGAUAUAACAUUAUAUUCUUGUUGUUUGUUCCUCUUUGUAGCUGGAGGGCUCGCCAAUUGUGGUUGCUCAGAAUGAGAAAUUCUCAGAGGUUGUUGGAGCUCUUGCUGUUACUAAAAACGAUAGAUUAUUGCAGCUAUAUGAUUUUUGUGUUGUAAAGCAUAUGAAGCUCUGGAAAACUGUGUUCAAGCUCAACAAUGGUGUAUAUUUUCUCUUCAUGCUCUUUUAUUGCAAGAUGAAAAACCUGAUCCUAAUGCAUUGAUGAACAUGUGUUUUCAUUAUAUUGCAUGUGUGUGCAUAUGCAACAUGAUGUUUUCACGAACCUAAUCCUGAUCCUGAUCAAUUUUCCUAAAUUUGACCAUGUUUUACUUUAGCUCUCUCUUCUUGCUUCUUUGUGUGUAGUUUUUCAGGUUCUUAUAAGCUUAUAAUCGAAAUAAGUAUGUUUUGUGAAGGGGAUAACUGCAGUUUAUUUUAUUUUGUUGUUGCUUAUUUUUAUAUAUAAAAUGCUUCCUUUCUGGCAGGUUG
Molecule: long non-coding RNA, 900 nt
Organism: Dioscorea cayenensis subsp. rotundata (Guinea yam)
Lineage: Eukaryota; Viridiplantae; Streptophyta; Magnoliopsida; Dioscoreales; Dioscoreaceae
Exons: 4
Source: RefSeq, a predicted model, not a curated record